ACUCCUACGGGAGGCAGCAGUGGGGAAUAUUGGACAAUGGGCGCAAGCCUGAUCCAGCCAUGCCGCGUGUGUGAAGAAGGCCUUCGGGUUGUAAAGCACUUUUAGCAGGGACGAAAUACUUUCGGUUAAUACCCGGUGCGAAUGACGGACC
RNAcentral lists this ribosomal RNA (151 nucleotides) under uncultured Frateuria sp. RNAcentral describes it as "partial 16S ribosomal RNA". It matches the Rfam family "Bacterial small subunit ribosomal RNA", at positions 335 to 478 of the family's 1533-position model. Lineage: Bacteria; Pseudomonadati; Pseudomonadota; Gammaproteobacteria; Lysobacterales; Rhodanobacteraceae. The record is from RNAcentral.